UAUUUGAUUUUUAAUUUAGGUUCUGUUCUAUUUCUAGAACAGAUUAAAAGGGAAUUUGGUUUAAACCCAAAGCUGUUCCCGCAACUGUAAGUUUGUUUCACAAUUUUUUAUGAAACCUCUUUUUAGAGUUGUUAUUUUCAUGCACCACUGUUCAAAUACUACACCGUAGUUUUCGAACGGGAAGGUUUAAUAACAAAAAACAAGCCAGGAGACCUGCCUCAAUUUAAAAGAGAUA
Molecule: non-coding RNA, 235 nt
Filed under: Polaribacter irgensii
Lineage: Bacteria; Pseudomonadati; Bacteroidota; Flavobacteriia; Flavobacteriales; Flavobacteriaceae
Also listed under: 1 other name
Source: RNAcentral